RNAcentral lists this antisense RNA (75 nucleotides) under Streptomyces mobaraensis. RNAcentral describes it as "ASpks TB sRNA". It matches the Rfam family "ASpks TB sRNA". Lineage: Bacteria; Bacillati; Actinomycetota; Actinomycetes; Kitasatosporales; Streptomycetaceae. The record is from Rfam by way of RNAcentral.
CUUGACCGAUCCCAGCCACAGCGGGCUGUCGUCCGGGCGGUCCUGCCCGUAGGUGGCGAGGAGGGCCUGGGCCUC